GAUUAACGCUGGCGGCGUGCAUAACACAUGCAAGUCGAACGAUGAAACUUUAAUGAACCCUUCGGGGAGAAUUAAAGCGGAUUAGUGGCGAACGGGAGAGUAACGCGUGAGUAACCUGCCUUACACAAGGGGAUAGCCUUUGGAAACGAAGAAUAAUACCCUAUAAAACCAUAAAAGCACAUGCAAUUAUGGUCAAAGUGAUAGCGGUGUAAGAUGGACUUGCGUCUGAUUAGCUAGUUGGUGAGAUAAAAGCCCACCAAGGCAACGAUCAGUAGCCGGCUUGAGAGAGUGUACGGCCACAUUGGGACUGAGACACGGCCCAGACUCCUACGGGAGGCAGCAGUGGGGAAUUUUGCACAAUGGGGGAAACCCUGAUGCAGCGACGCCGCGUGAUUUAGAAGGCCUUCGGGUUGUAAAAAUCUUUUGUAUAGGAAGAAAAUGACAGUACUAUACGAAUAAGGUCCGGCUAAUUACGUG
This 477-nucleotide ribosomal RNA is filed under the name uncultured bacterium. RNAcentral's name for it is "partial 16S ribosomal RNA". It matches the Rfam family "Bacterial small subunit ribosomal RNA", at positions 28 to 507 of the family's 1533-position model. The record is from RNAcentral.